Long non-coding RNA from Tupaia belangeri chinensis (Chinese tree shrew), 291 nucleotides. RefSeq lists it as uncharacterized. The transcript is spliced from 3 exons. Lineage: Eukaryota; Metazoa; Chordata; Mammalia; Scandentia; Tupaiidae. The record is from RefSeq and is a predicted model, not a curated record.
AGCGGCGGCUCCUCGGGGACGCAGCACAGAAGCGCGGACCUCCAGGCCGGCUUCGGGUAUGGGACUCAAGGGAAAUGAUCUUUGGGGUCCGCAGAGGACAGCUCCCAAGACCGAGUGUUAACUGGUCCACUUGGCUUUCUGAGUGACGGCAUGCCAGCUCUGUGGCCCUGCCACUGCCUGCCUCCCCAGCCCCCAGCUGAGUUUCAGAGGUCGGCCUAAACAGAGGUGGCACAUACCUGCCUCUUCUCGGAGGAUGGACGAGUCGAACCGGGCACGAGCAUGGAGCUGCGG